Molecule: ribosomal RNA, 728 nt
Filed under: uncultured Bacteroidales bacterium
Lineage: Bacteria; Pseudomonadati; Bacteroidota; Bacteroidia; Bacteroidales
Description: bacterial SSU rRNA
Rfam family: Bacterial small subunit ribosomal RNA
Source: RNAcentral
UGAACGCUAGCUACAGGCUUAACACAUGCAAGUCGAGGGGCAGCAUGGUCUUAGCUUGCUAAGGCCGAUGGCGACCGGCGCACGGGUGAGUAACACGUAUCCAACCUGCCGUCUACUCUUGGACAGCCUUCUGAAAGGAAGAUUAAUACAAGAUGGCAUCAUGAGUCCGCAUGUUCACGUGAUUAAAGGUAUUCCGGUAGACGAUGGGGAUGCGUUCCAUUAGAUAGUAGGCGGGGUAACGGCCCACCUAGUCUUCGAUGGACAGGGGUUCUGAGAGGAAGGUCCCCCACAUUGGAACUGAGACACGGUCCAAACUCCUACGGGAGGCAGCAGUGAGGAAUAUUGGUCAAUGGGCGAGAGCCUGAACCAGCCAAGUAGCGUGGAGGAUGACUGCCCUAUGGGUUGUAAACUUCUUUUAUAAAGGAAUAAAGUCGGGUAUGGAUACCCGUUUGCAUGUACUUUAUGAAUAAGGAUCGGCUAACUCCGUGCCAGCAGCCGCGGUAAUACGGAGGAUCCGAGCGUUAUCCGGAUUUAUUGGGUUUAAAGGGAGCGUAGAUGGAUGUUUAAGUCAGUUGUGAAAGUUUGCGGCUCAACCGUAAAAUUGCAGUUGAUACUGGAUAUCUUGAGUGCAGUUGAGGCAGGCGGAAUUCGUGGUGUAGCGGUGAAAUGCUUAGAUAUCACGAAGAACUCCGAUUGCGAAGGCAGCCUGCUAAGCUGCAACUGACAUU